RNAcentral lists this ribosomal RNA (497 nucleotides) under uncultured bacterium. RNAcentral's name for it is "partial 16S ribosomal RNA". It matches the Rfam family "Bacterial small subunit ribosomal RNA", at positions 28 to 507 of the family's 1533-position model. The record is from RNAcentral.
GACGAACGCUGGCGGCGUGCCUAAUACAUGUAAGUUGAGCGCUGAAGGUUGGUACUUGUACCGACUGGAUGAGCAGCGAACGGGUGAGUAACGCGUGGGGAAUCUGCCUUUGAGCGGGGGACAACAUUUGGAAACGAAUGCUAAUACCGCAUAAAAACUUUAAACACAAGUUUUAAGUUUGAAAGAUGCAAUUGCAUCACCCAAAGAUGAUCCCGCGUUGUAUUAGCUAGUUGGUGAGGUAAAGGCUCACCAAGGCGAUGAUACAUAGCCGACCGGAGAGGGUGAUCGGCCACAUUGGGACUGAGACACGGCCCAAACUCCUACGGGAGGCAGCAGUAGGGAAUCUUCGGCAAUGGACGAAAGUCUGACCGAGCAACGCCGCGUGAGUGAAGAAGGUUUUCGGAUCGUAAAACUCUGUUGGCAGAGAAGAACGUUGGUGAGAGUGGAAAGCUCAUCAAGUGACGGUAACUACUCAGAAAGGGACGGCUAACUACGUG